AUUGAACGCUGGCGGCAUGCCUUACACAUGCAAGUCGAACGGCAGCACGGGUGCUUGCACCUGGUGGCGAGUGGCGAACGGGUGAGUAAUACAUCGGCACGUACCUUAUCGUGGGGGAUAACGCAGCGAAAGUUGCGCUAAUACCGCAUACGCCCUGAGGGGGAACGCGGGGGACCGUAAGGCCUCGCGCGAUUAGAGCGGCCGAUGUCUGAUUAGCUUGUUGGUGAGGUAAAAGCUCACCAAGGCGAUGAUCAGUAGCUGGUCUGAGAGGACGAUCAGCCACACUGGGACUGAGACACGGCCCAGACUCCUACGGGAGGCAGCAGUGGGGAAUUUUGGACAAUGGGGGCAACCCUGAUCCAGCAAUGCCGCGUGAGUGAAGAAGGCCUUCGGGUUGUAAAGCUCUUUUGUCAGGGAAGAAACAGCAGCUCUGACACAGUCUGCGAAUGACGGUACCUGAAGAAUAAGCACCGGCUAACUACGUGCCAGCAGCCGCAGUAA
RNAcentral lists this ribosomal RNA (501 nucleotides) under uncultured bacterium. Its description in RNAcentral is "partial 16S ribosomal RNA". It matches the Rfam family "Bacterial small subunit ribosomal RNA", at positions 30 to 523 of the family's 1533-position model. The record is from RNAcentral.